Molecule: ribosomal RNA, 203 nt
Filed under: uncultured bacterium
Lineage: Bacteria
Description: partial 16S ribosomal RNA
Rfam family: Bacterial small subunit ribosomal RNA
Source: RNAcentral
UUGCAGGCUGCAACUCGCCUGUAUGAAGUUGGAAUUGCUAGUAAUCGCGGAUCAGCAUGCCGCGGUGAAUACGUUCCCGGGCCUUGUACACACCGCCCGUCACACCAUGAGAGCCGGUAAUACCCGAAGUCAGUAUCCUAACCGCAAGGAGGGAGCUGCCGAAGGUAGGAUUGGCGAUUGGGGUGAAGUCGUAACAAGGUAUC